Molecule: long non-coding RNA, 327 nt
Filed under: Vigna radiata
Lineage: Eukaryota; Viridiplantae; Streptophyta; Magnoliopsida; Fabales; Fabaceae
Description: long non-coding RNA (VRAD_LNC010623)
Source: RNAcentral
AAAAAAAAAUCAGUUUUUCUUCCUCUUUUUAUUAACAAAGUCAUUAAGAAUCAUAUCACUAUCAUUAACUUCAGUGUUAUCCUCUUCUGCAUUCUCAUCUUCAUUUCCUUGGUUAGAACUUUCAGGAGUACUUGCUUCCACUGAUAGUGAGUCUUCAGAAAUAUGCACAUUUGGUUGAGGUCCUUCUCUUUGUUCUUUCAGCAGCCUUAUAACUAUUCUUAAGCCUUAUAACAUAAUCCUUUCAAACUCCGACCUUGCCCUGUAAUGACUGCCUAGAAGAGAUUCUAGUUCAUCUUCAUAAUUAGGAACCUCAUUUUUGUACACCCA